This 655-nucleotide ribosomal RNA is filed under the name Dailognatha quadricollis. RNAcentral's name for it is "eukaryotic LSU rRNA". It matches the Rfam family "Eukaryotic large subunit ribosomal RNA", at positions 663 to 1265 of the family's 3401-position model. Lineage: Eukaryota; Metazoa; Arthropoda; Insecta; Coleoptera; Tenebrionidae. The record is from RNAcentral.
GGACCAAGGAGUCUAGCAUGUGCGCGAGUCAUUGGGACAUGACUAAACCUAAAGGCGCAAUGAAAGUGAAAGUCCGCCUCGCGCGGACCUAGGGAGGAUGGGCGGUCGUUACGGCUACCGCCCCGCACUCCCGGGGCGUCUCGUUCUCAUUGCGAGAAGAGGCGCACCAAGAGCGUACACGCUGGGACCCGAAAGAUGGUGAACUAUGCCUGGUCAGGACGAAGUCAGGGGAAACCCUGAUGGAGGUCCGUAGCGAUUCUGACGUGCAAAUCGAUCGUCGGAACUGGGUAUAGGGGCGAAAGACUAAUCGAACCAUCUAGUAGCUGGUUCCCUCCGAAGUUUCCCUCAGGAUAGCUGGCGCUCGUUGCGUACGAGUUUCAUCCGGUAAAGCGAAUGAUUAGAGGCAUUGGGGUCGAAACGGCCUCAACCUAUUCUCAAACUUUAAAUGGGUGAGAUCUCCGGCUUGCUCGAACUCAUUUUUAAAAUGAAGCCGCGAGACUCGAAUCAGAGUGCCAAGUGGGCCAUUUUUGGUAAGCAGAACUGGCGCUGUGGGAUGAACCAAACGCCGAGUUAAAGCGCCUAAAUCGACGCUUAUGGGAUACCAUGAAAGGCGUUGGUAACUUAAGACAUCAGGACGGUGGCCAUGGAAGUCGGA